GCAUAUCAAUAAGCGGAGGAAAAGAAACUAACAAGGAUUCCCCUAGUAACGGCGAGUGAAGAGGGAAGAGCCCAAGAUUGAAAGCUGGCGUCUUCGGCGUCCGCAUUGUAAUCUCAAGAAGUGUUUUCCGCUUCGGACCAAGCCUAAGUCCCUUGGAAAAGGGCAUCAUAGAGGGUGAUAAUCCCGUACAUGGCUUGGAGCGCCCGAGGCUUUGUGAUACGCUUUCUAAGAGUCGAGUUGUUUGGGAAUGCAGCUCAAAAUGGGUGGUAAAUGCCAUCUAAGGCUAAAUAUUGGGGAGAGACCGAUAGCGAACAAGUACAGUGAUGGAAAGAUGAAAAGAACUUUGAAAAGAGAGUUAAACAGUACGUGAAAUUGCCAAAAGGGAAGGGUAGGAGGUCAGAGAUGCGGCCUGGGAUUCAGCCUUGCUUUUGCUUGGUGUUUUUCCCAGAUUGCAGGCCAACGUCGGUUUUGGGCACUGGAGAAGGGUAGGAGGAACGUGGCACCCCUCGGGGUGUGUUAUAGCCUCCUACUGGAUACAGCGACCGAGACCGAGGACAGCAGCGUACUCGUAAGAGCGGGCCCUCGGGCACCUUUACGCUUAGGGCGUUGGCAUAAUGGCCCUCUACCACCCGUCUUGAAACACGGACC
This 648-nucleotide ribosomal RNA is filed under the name Moesziomyces parantarcticus. RNAcentral describes it as "LSU rRNA". It matches the Rfam family "Eukaryotic large subunit ribosomal RNA", at positions 38 to 667 of the family's 3401-position model. Lineage: Eukaryota; Fungi; Basidiomycota; Ustilaginomycetes; Ustilaginales; Ustilaginaceae. The record is from RNAcentral.